RNAcentral lists this long non-coding RNA (275 nucleotides) under Citrus sinensis (sweet orange). RNAcentral describes it as "long non-coding RNA (CSIN_LNC004884)". Lineage: Eukaryota; Viridiplantae; Streptophyta; Magnoliopsida; Sapindales; Rutaceae. The record is from RNAcentral.
CUCAUUCUUGUAACAUGCAAGUCUUUUUUCACUGAUUGUUAGAGCUUAAUAUUGUCAAGUUAUUUCAAUGAAAAUGUGCUAAAGAAGUAUUUCACUAGUAAUAGAAACAAACGUCUUGAACAACGCACUUUGAUUUCGGUUAUUCGACUGGAGCUAACUGUGGCUCACUGUGGAUUAGGGAAUCUUUUAUGAAAGAAUCUUUAAUUAUAGUUCCUUUGGUUUGGAUGCUUGGUCACCCAUACUGGUUUUCUGCAAGAGUUUUGCAUGUGCCUUAA